AACGAACGCUGGCGGCGUGGAUAAGACAUGCAAGUCGAACGCUGAUUUGUUGAUAGCAAUAUUGACAAGUUGGAGUGGCGCAAGGGUGUGUAACACGUAGGUAAUUUGCCUUGAGGUUUGGGAUAACCCGAAGAAAUUUGGGCUAAUACCAAAUGUGGCGCGAGUCCGGCAUCGGGCUUUCGCCAAAGCUGGGGAUCGCA
RNAcentral lists this ribosomal RNA (200 nucleotides) under uncultured bacterium. Its description in RNAcentral is "partial 16S ribosomal RNA". It matches the Rfam family "Bacterial small subunit ribosomal RNA", at positions 29 to 214 of the family's 1533-position model. The record is from RNAcentral.